GACGAACGCUGGCGGCGUGCUUAACACAUGCAAGUCGAGCGGUAAGGCCCUUUCGGGGGUACACGAGCGGCGAACGGGUGAGUAACACGUGGGUGACCUGCCCUUAGCUCUGGGAUAAGCCUGGGAAACUGGGUCUAAUACCGGAUAUGACUCCAUGACGCAUGUUGUGGGGUGGAAAGCCUUGUGCGGCUAGGGGAUGGGCCCGCGGCCUAUCAGCUUGUUGGUGGGGUGAUGGCCUACCAAGGCGACGACGGGUAGCCGGCCUGAGAGGGCGACCGGCCACACUGGGACUGAGACACGGCCCAGACUCCUACGGGAGGCAGCAGUGGGGAAUCUUGCGCAAUGGGCGAAAGCCUGACGCAGCGACGCCGCGUGA
This 376-nucleotide ribosomal RNA is filed under the name uncultured bacterium. RNAcentral's name for it is "bacterial SSU rRNA". It matches the Rfam family "Bacterial small subunit ribosomal RNA", at positions 28 to 404 of the family's 1533-position model. The record is from RNAcentral.